CUGAUGUGUAAUGUAUAGCUAGG
RNAcentral lists this non-coding RNA (23 nucleotides) under Cricetulus griseus (Chinese hamster). Lineage: Eukaryota; Metazoa; Chordata; Mammalia; Rodentia; Cricetidae. The record is from RNAcentral.